Molecule: long non-coding RNA, 2842 nt
Filed under: Mus spretus (western wild mouse)
Lineage: Eukaryota; Metazoa; Chordata; Mammalia; Rodentia; Muridae
Description: predicted gene 17094 (ENSMSPG00010026299.1)
Source: RNAcentral
AUCAUAAUCUACAGAGGAGAUAGUGCAGCCUUGUCUUACUUCUGGCCAUAAAUGGAAAGCAUUUUCCACAGAUGAAUCUGUGCCUUUUGUGUAUCCUUUUAGUAAUAUGAAGGAAGAAUAUGGCAUUGGCAGAGAGACCAGAUCUUCAAGAUCUCAGCACUCAGAAAUGAAAAUGUGUGUUAGUGUGGUAAUCCGCUGGGAAAGGACUCUUCACAUGAUGCCAGACUGACAAAAAAUGCAGGAAAAAAUUACAUUUACCAAGUAUUAAUACCAGAAAUGCAUUUAUGAGUUUUAAGACCUGGCAUUGAGAUAUGUCAACUCUUGGUAGUACCUCAUUUGAUUUAGAAGGAGAUGAUGAGCAUCAAAAUCCUUCAUAUGGAGUUGCUUCAAUUAUGGCAAGCUAACCACAGGGCAAAGAAAAUGCUCUUUCUUCAUCUACAGAGAGAAUGCUGUCCAGAAAGGACAGAAGAGAAGUCAACUGCCAAGUUCUGCCUAGAUAGAGUAAACAAGUCCUUCAUAAUUCCUGCUUCACAAAAAGUCUGUCAGAUGUUCUGGACCAGAAGGAUGAAGAUAGAUGCUUCAGAGUUCUAGAGAAUAUUGGGGACUGUCCAGCCUUGGUGAGCUUCCAUUUAGCAGAAAUUGUUCCUAGCCCACAUGUCUGGAUCAGCCCCAAGAAGCUUCUAGAAGGUGGAUAACCGGGGCCACUUUUAAAAAGUGGCACAUGUGACAAGUGUGCACAAACAAACCUCCAAACAAAAUGGUCAUACUGGAAGCCUCUUCUUUCAAGAAGGAAAACACAGCAAAUGCAGAGUCACGGGCCUUGAACAGGCAGAAUGAUUACUGACUUCUGAGAACAAAAGAAUAUGAGAAAAGACUUUGGAGGUAAAACCCACAGAGAAGAGGCAUUGAGAUGCAUAAAUGACAUCACUUAUGCCAUCUGCUUCGCUUUUAAAGUAGGAAACAACACAUUAUCCUGAAAUACUGCAUACAGUCAUACAGUGAGGACAGAUGACUGUCCCAGGCACCAAAAUGGCACAGUGAGCUCUGCCACUGUGAGCAAAACUGAUCUCACCAGGUCUGGAAGGCUCAUCAUGGAUUAAAGGAAACCUGGAUGCUCUGGACCUGCGCAAUUGAUCAUAGAAGUCUACUGUCUGUUCCCAUCCUGCCUUCAGGCUGAGUCUAGUGAGGUACUCCAGGGUUUGAACAUACUGAAAGACCAGCACACUCCUUAAUUAUAUUAUUCUACAUAAUCAUAUUAUGUAGCAAUUUUCAUCCAGUUAAAAUAUUCUUUACUUGAGGAAGUCUUCUUAAGGAUUAGGAGGCUUUAAGUGGAAACAUUGCUUCCAGAAAUGUUGAAGAGACUUCGGAAGCAAACUCAGAAGUCUCAAGAAGCUCCUGAAGCUGACAAGGCUCCGUUCCCCCUGCUUAGAGCAAUCUGUGGAUCCUGAGAGAGGAAGUGAGGCCGGGAGGCUGGAGCGAAAGAGACUGAACAAACAGCAAUUGAGCAAGGCACAGACUCUUGAGGCUGGUUGAGUGAGACAGCUCCUUCAAUGGGAGGAACAAAGGCUUUGAGGGCCAUAUUCACAUCUGGGAAGCACUCUGCUAGCAGCAUGAAAGCAGUUUUUGAAUAGAGAGUUAUUAAAAGGUUGGUGACCCAGGACUGGCAAUCCUGGGGUUGUCAUGAGUGACCAUUGCACUCGAUCAAGGGUUAUGAAACACGUAUCACGUGGGGGAGCAAGCGUGGAUCUCUGAUGGUGAAAAUAACAUCAUCUCUCUAGCUGAUUGUGCGAAUCACACCAUCCCUCUAACCAACUGUGCAAACCCUUUCUCUUCCCUAUUGACCGAGGAAAUCACAUCAUCUCUCUAAAAUUAGUCUUCCUUUCUGAAAAGCAAGCCUAAGUGGAGGUCCUGUUCUGAUUUUCUGACCCUGUGGGUGACUGUGUUAGGGCAGCUUGCCUGUGUUUCUUUCUUUAUCAUUCUGUCUGUACUGUCUUUUAUUACUGUGUACUGUCAGCAGCGACAAUUUCCUCAAAGUUUAAAAUAGCAAAAGUGUACAAAGGUGGAAAAAAAUACAAAGCUUUAUCUUGCCCUCUAAGAAGCCCCAUGGUGUGACUUUCCCAGGUACUUCAGAUCUCCUGGAGACCUGUAACGUGUCCUCGUAUCUUUACCUUCUUUGGAUGGUAGGAACUCACAUCUACAAGGCUGUAUUUCAAGAGGAGAUGACAGACAUUUGUGAGAUUUUAGUGUUUCUAGCAUUGCCCUUGUCAUUUAAUGACUCCUCCCCAAGUGUGGCACUCAGCAUGGUGGUGCUGACUUCAGCUCCAGUCAUGUUUGAUCUCUUGCCUUCAUGCUGAAUGACUAUUCCAUGUCUCCGGGGCACUGUGUUUUUCUGUUGCUAUCCUAGUUCCUUAGUGCCACCCUGGCUUUUCUCUAAAGUGCUGCCACCACCCCUGCAGUGCUCACCAAACACUGUCAACAACCUCUCUUGAGUUUACACAGCCACCCCUCUUAUCCCUGACUGCCUGCAGCAAAAAGAAAGAAAUUGCACCUCCAUCUUCCUCCCUCCCAGCUGUCGGCACUGUGCUAAAAACAAAACCCUUCAGCUUCCUAAACAAACAAGCUUGCAGUAUUCAGAAUGUGUCCCGGUAUGUGGUCAUAUAUUUCUGUAAGGUUCUUUAAGGACACAGGUCUUUCAAAACCAUUUCAAUGUAUGCUACAUGAGAGAUGAUUAUGUUUAACCCCAAGGUAGGAAGAGUGGUCCUGCUGCUUGGCUGGCUGUAUCUUCUGAGGCGCAUAAUUGGCUGCUCUGGUUCACAGGAAUAAAUUUCAUCUUAAAAUCUGU